Fukomys damarensis (Damara mole-rat) is the source of this 4531-nucleotide long non-coding RNA. The record is from Ensembl. Lineage: Eukaryota; Metazoa; Chordata; Mammalia; Rodentia; Bathyergidae.
UGACUUACAUUUAAGGAAAGAUGCUCUCAAGACUUGGGAGGGUCCCUUUUGCACCUACAGUAAUAGAGUAUAGACAGAUGCGUUCUUUUUCCUGGUUUUAGAGUGUGUACAUGAAACGGGGAAGGAAGGUCUGGUGGGCAGGACAAAAGUUUCAGGGAGGGCCCCCAACACAUAAGCCAUGAGUGCCCUCACUUCGUUUGUGACGCGGAGACCCAGCUCUGGGCCCUGAUGCCGGGAAGUGAGGACUCCCGGAGACAGCAGGGCUGUCGCCGCUGCAGAGGGGACCUCCCUGCGUCCAGUCUCAGCCGAAUCUCCCACAGCCAGCAGCCUAGGCCGGCGCCAGGCGCCUGCGGAACUUAGCUGAAGCAGAACCUUAGUGCGCGGGUCCCGCGGAGGAGGACCGGUGGGCUGAGUCACGCGCCCCGCGCCUCUCCCUUCCGCCCAGGAGAGGAUGGUCUCAAGGUACAUCCAUUUAGUUACAAAUGUGCCAGACCCCACAGUACUGGUCAUGCCCAAAGCAUGCUGUGAGCAGUGUGGGCUGCAGAGUUAGCCCCUCCUGGCUCACUGUAAGAAGUGAGUCUGAAGCUCCGCCACGCACAGAAGCAGCUCAUGAGCACCACGGGAGCAUGCAGCUCAACAUGACCUCCCUGUCCACGGCCACUGCCGAGACCAGAGUGAUGGCCUGUGAAGAUGUGGGGCUCGUACAAGACAAUGGAGAAACGCUGUGGCUGCCGUCCUAGAGUGAGUGCCAUGGACAGAGAUGGGGCCCCAGACAGCAGCGCCAAGUGGCACCCCACUGAGAGCCACUCAGAGGCUGAGUCUAAGGAGCCCCACACGGCCCAACACCUACAGAUGCUCAUGAGCAGAGGUCUGCUCAGAGGGGCCGCCCACGUCCACCAGGGAGACCUGUACCCAAGUGGGUGCCACGGGUGCCAAGCCAGAGCAGUGGUCCUGCGCGAGAGAUAAGAUGGAUCACUCUGGAGAGGACUACAGACUGUGGAAGCUCCUCACCACUGGGCCUGGUGUCUCCCAACAACUGCAGAACAUCCUGCUGAAGAUCCACACCCAUGCGUGUCAGUAAGCACUGUGUGUAUCUCAUUCCACUGCACCUGCCAGACAUGUGGCACUGCCAACAUUUCACCCAAAGGAUUGACCUGAGGACACCACUGUCUGCCUUGGACUGUGUGAUGCCUUGACCACGGCUCCUAUGGUGGGUUUUGUCAAUUUUGACCUCAGGACAGCUAAUAAUACCAUGUAGUGCAGAAUAUGAUCAAAAUAUUCUGCCUUUGUUCAAAACCCUGCAGUCCUAUAAUGAAGAAUGCAUCCAAGGAGUGUGGCCGGUGAUGUUGAGUGUAUUGCACCUAGAUCCCUUCUUUUUCUGGAUGUGAGCAUUUGGGAGAAUUGUAAAUAUUUAGAUAUAUUAGAUACAAAUUCUUUAUCAGGUAUAAAAUUUGAAAGUAUGAUUGCCAUACAUUGUUGUUUCAGUAUCUUGAUAGUGUCCUUUGAGGCACAAAAGUUUUUGAUGAAGUCCAGUUUACCUAUUUUGCCUUUUUGUUGCUCAUACUUUAGGUGUUAUAUCUAAGAAUCCAAAAUGAUGACUUAGCCCCAUCUGCUCUUCUGGGAGCUUUGCAGUUUUAGUCUUAGGUGAGCUCUUUGGCCCACUGAGUCAAUCCUUUUACCUCUGUGAUAUGAGGUAAGCAUUAAACUUCAUUUUUUUCUGUGAGCCCAGCACCAUUACUGAAAAGAAGAUUCUUUGCCUGUUGAAUGGUCUUGAAACUCUUGGCAAACUCAUGUGGACUUAGACCUUUGGAAAUGUUUGGGGCCUCCCAAUUACAUUCCAGGCUUCAGAUAUUUAUUCUUAGUCCAUUCAGUACAGUGUUGUUUUAACUUGCUUCUUAGUAAGUUUUGAAACCAGGAACUGUGAGUCCUUCCAUUUUAUUCUCCUUUUUCAGUGGUUUCAUGCAAUUUCAUAUAAACUUUAGAUUUAGCUUUUAAUUUCUACAAAGAAGCCUGCUGGGAUUGAGCUCAGCACCCUGAGCCUGCAAGGCAGGCACAGCACCACUGAGCUAAAUCCCCUGCCCAAGAAUAUGUUUGUUGAAAUUUAAUAGCUUUGCUAAUUUGGAUUUCAUAAUAUCUGACCCUUUAGCUUUCUUUUAUCAGUGUCACCAGCAUCUCUGUAUAUAGCUGUCAUUUGCAGGAUCCUGUUUGCCUCAGAUUUUACACCUGGUGAUAUUCCAAUCUACCUCCUCCCCAACUUAUUCAUACCUGUGCUUUCAGCUGGAGGUGUCAUUCACCCUUUACCUUUUUUAUUCUGGCCAUUUUCUCUCAUUCUACUGUCCCUGUUCAGGUGCCAACUGCCACAGCCCAUGUGGCUGAAGGGUUAAAAGAGUGAGAAACCAGGGUGAGAAAUUAAGAAACUGAAAGAGUAAGACAAAGACAAAAAGGACAGUAAAGUUCACAUAGCUGAGGCCAGGUGGAAACUCCUUAUCCUGAUGAGACAAAAAGCUUGGCUUGCAUUCUCAGCACCUUGAUUUGUAGUAGAUAAGAAACUUGAAGGGGAUGCCUGACUGGAACAGGGAGAAUGGCUAGGGUCUGCAGGAGACAAUGCUUGAUGUUUCUCUUGGGAAUGGGCGGGGAGGAAGACAGUUCUCUUCCUGGCCAGGCCUUGCUCCACCCUGCCCUCUUGUCACCUGUUCCCCUCCAUCUUCAGGAGGAGGCGAGUUAGACCUGGCCAUAGUGAUCCACAGCGCUGCACUCCCAGCAAAUGGAAGCUAUGAUUUUGAUGGGGCAGCACUGGAACUCUACAGCAUUGUGUGUGUGUGGGGGGGGCAUUACCAGCUUGAAAUUAACUGCUCUGAUUUGGGAACAUAAAAUAUUCUAUUUAUUAAGAUUUUCUUUAAUUCCCCUCAUCAGUAUUUGUAGUUUUUCCAGAGUAUGAGUUUUGCAUUUCUUUCAUAAAGACAUUCCUAAGUAUUUUUAUUGGUUUUGAUGUUUUCAUAAAUGGAAUUGUGUUCUGACUUUCAUUUUUGGAUUGUUUAUUGUAAGUAUAUAGGAGUACAAUAGAUUUUUGUGUUUUGUUCUUGUGUCCUGCAAUCUUGCUGAACUAGUUUAGAAGCUCUAAGAGUUUGAAUAGAUUAUUUGGGGUUUUCUAUACAUAAGAUCAUAUCAACUGCAAAGACAGGCAGCAGUUUUGCUUUCUCUCCUUUCCAGUUCACAUGCCUUUCAUUUCUUUCUCCUGCUGGCUUACCCUGACUCAAAGCUCCAGGACAGUGCUGACUGAUGUUCAAGGGUGGACCUCCUGCAUGGCUUCUAAUGUUAGAGGGAAAGUGUGUAGACUUUCACUAAGUGUGACAGGGUUGCUAACUGUGUAAGUGCUUUAUUAGGGUUGAAGAAAUUCCCUUCCAUUUGUAGUUUGUGGAGAGUUUUCAUCAUGAAAGAAUGUUGGAUUUUGUCAAAUGCUUUUCUUCAGCUAUUGAGAUAACUGUGAUUUUUGUUUUUUACUUAAAUGACAUAUUUGUAUCACAUUAAUUGGUUUCUGAAUGUUAAAAACUCUUUCAUUUCUGAGAUUAAAUCCCACCUAAUUGUGGUACCUAGUUAUUUUUAUAUGUUGUUAGAUUCAGUUUGAUAGUAUUUUGUCGAGGGUUUCCACAUUCAUGAGACAUUAUAUGUAGUUUUCUUGUGCUGGCUUUGGUAUAAGAAUGCUGGUACUGGCCUCAUGGAACUGAUGUAAGUUAAUUGAUAGAAGUUCUUUGAAUGGUGGAAUUCAACAGUAAAACCACCUAGGUUGUAUUUCUGUUGCAGGUAGCUUUUUUACUACUAGUUCAUCUCUACAUGUUCAGAUUGUCUGUUUCCUCUUGAGUCAGUUUCAGUAGUUGACAUAUUUAUAGGAAUUUGCUCAUUUCAUCUAAGUUUUCUAACUUUUGUUCACUUAUGGUUUAAAGGUUCCCCCUGUGUUCUCAUGGUUUUAUAGCACAUUUCCUUUUAGUGAUAAAUAGUAUUGUUUUAUGGAUGUGCCAGUUAGUUUAUGCAUUCACCUGUUGUUUAGCUUUCCUGUGGCUGUUUUCAUUUGCGAUUUGUAAAUGCAUAUGUACUCAUGUGUUUCAUGUAUUAUGAACAUGUAUGCAAACUGCUUUCCAUUUAUGGAUCCUGUUUGGUAGGAUAUCCUGUUCAGGUCUUUGUUCAUUAAUUGUAGUUUUUUACUCACUGUGAAUGUGAGCACGUGCUUUGCGAACAUUUUCUCCCAGUCAGCGGCUUGUGUCUUCUGUCUCGUAGUAGGUAAGAGAUCACGAAAUGGCUCAGGGCAGGGACUAUCCUGCAGAGGGAAGGCUCGGCCAUGUGAGUAGAGGUGAAGUCCUUUUGACCAUCUCAGAGGACGGCGAGGGAGACGGGGAGGCUACAGAGGCUGGGGCCAGAGUGCCGAUCGCCCGUCUCGCGCCCCUCCACCCCACGCGGCGCCCUGGUCCCAACGGUCCCCUAGCCGGUUCCGCAGACUCUAGGAGAGCAGCGCCCGAAACCCUCGCUCCGCCAUGGG